AGCUCAAUGCGCUUCUCGUCCUCCCGCUCAUUACUAGUUCGAGUAACGAAUUUCUACUCCGUGGGUUGCAGGUUCGAAUCCUGCUGGGAUCGCCA
RNAcentral lists this transfer RNA (95 nucleotides) under Bradyrhizobium sp. OAE829. RNAcentral describes it as "tRNA-Arg". It matches the Rfam family "tRNA", at positions 9 to 71 of the family's 71-position model. From Rfam's summary of the family: Transfer RNA (tRNA) molecules are approximately 80 nucleotides in length. Their secondary structure includes four short double-helical elements and three loops (D, anti-codon, and T loops). The record is from RNAcentral. Lineage: Bacteria; Pseudomonadati; Pseudomonadota; Alphaproteobacteria; Hyphomicrobiales; Nitrobacteraceae.